RNAcentral lists this ribosomal RNA (301 nucleotides) under uncultured bacterium. RNAcentral's name for it is "partial 16S ribosomal RNA". It matches the Rfam family "Bacterial small subunit ribosomal RNA", at positions 509 to 809 of the family's 1533-position model. The record is from RNAcentral.
CAGCAGCCACGGGAAUACGUAGGUGGCGAGCGUUGUCCGGAAUUAUUGGGCGUAAAGGGAGCGCAGGCGGACAUAUAAGUCCAUCUUAAAAGUGCGGGGCUCAACCCCGUGAGGGGAUGGAAACUGUAUGCCUUGAGUGCAGGAGAGGAAAGCGGAAUUCCCAGUGUAGCGGUGAAAUGCGUAGAUAUUGGGAGGAACACCAGUGGCGAAGGCGGCUUUCUGGACUGCAACUGACGCUGAGGCUCGAAAGCCAGGGGAGCGAACGGGAUUAGAGACCCCCGUAGUCCCUGUCUCUUAUACA